RNAcentral lists this ribosomal RNA (256 nucleotides) under uncultured bacterium. Its description in RNAcentral is "partial 16S ribosomal RNA". It matches the Rfam family "Bacterial small subunit ribosomal RNA", at positions 524 to 776 of the family's 1533-position model. The record is from RNAcentral.
UACGGGGGGAGCAAGCGUUGUUCGGAUUUACUGGGCGUAAAGGGCGCGUAGGCGGUCGUGACAAGUCACUUGUGAAAUCUCCGGGCUUAACUCGGUGAACGGUCAAGUGAUACUGUCGGACUAGAGUACAGAAGGGGCAACUGGAAUUCUCGGUGUAGCGGUGAAAUGCGUAGAUAUCGAGAGGAACACCUGCGGCGAAGGCGGGUUGCUGGGCUGAUACUGACGCUGAGGAGCGAAAGCGUGGGGAGCGAACAGG